UGGAGGAAAACCACAGUGGCGGGGCCAGCUCUGGAGCCCUGGAGUCAGCUCCCGCAGUAACUCCAGAGAUCUCCGUCUGCAGGGGUUGGAGGCUCCGGGGCGGG
Molecule: microRNA precursor, 104 nt
Filed under: Canis lupus familiaris (dog)
Lineage: Eukaryota; Metazoa; Chordata; Mammalia; Carnivora; Canidae
Also listed under: 1 other name
Description: mir-8834 microRNA precursor family
Rfam family: mir-8834 microRNA precursor family
Source: Rfam by way of RNAcentral